GGGAUCCAGAAGAGUCGUUACAAAUUCAGAAUAGAGAAGGAUGACAUGCCUAUAAUACAAGAUCUGAAGGUGAAAUAGGAGAAUCAGAAUAAAAAUGAGAGAUCUGUGAAGUAUGAUGAAAUUUGAGAGAUGUAAUGAAAAAAAGGAAAAGUGGGUCAACCUCCAAGAAAGGCUUGAGUUUGGGUUUGGAAUAGUGAAAAGGGAGAGAGAAAGUAGAGAGGAGAGGUGUAUGCAUACUUUUCAGUGUGUGAAUAGUACAAAUACUCUAUUAAAUUGGUCACUACGUGAGCAGAAUACACCAACUACCAUGGAAAAUGAAAAUACACCUUUUGACUUU
RNAcentral lists this unclassified non-coding RNA (337 nucleotides) under Hevea brasiliensis (rubber tree). Lineage: Eukaryota; Viridiplantae; Streptophyta; Magnoliopsida; Malpighiales; Euphorbiaceae. The record is from RNAcentral.